RNAcentral lists this long non-coding RNA (834 nucleotides) under Homo sapiens (human). RNAcentral describes it as "HSALNT0017268". Lineage: Eukaryota; Metazoa; Chordata; Mammalia; Primates; Hominidae. The record is from RNAcentral.
GUCUGGAGGAGGUGAUAUCUGGCUGAGAUCCGGGAGAAGGGUGGUGUCACUGAUGUCUGGAGAGAGAGUCACCUGGCUGAGGUCUGGGGAAAGGGACAUCUGACCAAAGUUUGGGGAAAGAUCUGUCUCACCAAGGUCUGGAGAAAGUGUCAUCUGGUCGAGGUCUGGGGUAAGGGGAAUUUGACUGAGAUCUGCAAAGAGGGGCAUCUCACUGAGGUCUGGGGAAAGGUUUGUCUGACUGAGUUCUGGAGAGAGGUUUGUCUGGCUGAGGUCUAGAGAAAGGGUUGUAUGGCUGGGGUCUGGAGAAAGGGGCAUCUGACCGAGGGCUGGGGAAAGGUUUGUUUGACUGAGUUCUGGAGAGAGGUUUGUCUGGCUGAAGUCUAGAGAAAGGGUUGUAUGGCUGAGGUCUGGAGAAAUGGGCAUCUGACCGAGGGCUGGGGAAAGGUUUGUCUGACUGAGUUCUGGAGAGAGAGUCAUAUGGCUGAGUUCUGGAGAGAGGUUUGUCUGGCUGAGGUCUAAAGAAAGGGUUGUAUGGCUGAGGUCUGGAGAAAGGGUUGUAUGGCUGAGGUCUGGAGAAAUGGGCAUCUGACCGAGGGCUGGGGAAAGGUUUCUCUGAAUGAGUUCUGGAGAGAGAGUCGUGUGGCUGAGGUCUGGAGAGAGGUUUGUCUGGCUGAGUUCUGGAGAGAGGGUCACCUGGCUGAGGUCUGGAGAGAUGACUGUCUGCCAGACUUCAUGUUCUGAGGAAGGGGACAUUUGACUUAUAUCUGUGGGGAAGGACUUGUGACUUCGGUCAUACUCAAGCAUUUCACUGAGCUCUGGAGAAGAGGAUCUGUG